Molecule: ribosomal RNA, 219 nt
Filed under: Pheidole cursor
Lineage: Eukaryota; Metazoa; Arthropoda; Insecta; Hymenoptera; Formicidae
Description: partial large subunit ribosomal RNA
Source: RNAcentral
GAAUUUUAUAGAAAGUUAAUAAAAGUUUUAGUAUAAAAAUUUAUUAAGUUUGUAUUUUAUUGGGAGGAUAAUUAAAUUAAAGAAACUUUAAAAAAAUAAAAAAUCAUUGAUGUAUGAAUUAGAGUGUAAUAGAAUGAUGAAAAAAUUUAAAUAGAAUUAAUUACCUUAGGGAUAACAGCGUUAUAUUUUUAGAGAGACCUUAUUAAUAAAAAUGUUUGC